Molecule: non-coding RNA, 92 nt
Organism: Mycena vulgaris
Lineage: Eukaryota; Fungi; Basidiomycota; Agaricomycetes; Agaricales; Mycenaceae
Source: the annotation of a GenBank genome assembly
UCGGGUGUGGUGCACGGUGCACAUCGGCUUCAUGCGAGAGUGGAGAUAAAUAAACUAAGCCGCGAAACGGGGUUCGACUCCCCGCGCCCGAC